UACGGGGGGGGCAAGCGUUGUUCGGAAUUACUGGGCGUAAAGGGCUCGUAGGCGGCCAACUAAGUCAGACGUGAAAUCCCUCGGCUUAACCGGGGAACUGCAUCUGAUACUGGAUGGCUUGAGUUCGGGAGAGGGAUGCGGAAUUCCAGGUGUAGCGGUGAAAUGCGUAGAUAUCUGGAGGAACACCGGUGGCGAAGGCGGCAUCCUGGACCGACAUUGACGCUGAGGAGCGAAAGCCAGGGGAGCAAACGGG
This 253-nucleotide ribosomal RNA is filed under the name uncultured bacterium. Its description in RNAcentral is "partial 16S ribosomal RNA". It matches the Rfam family "Bacterial small subunit ribosomal RNA", at positions 524 to 776 of the family's 1533-position model. The record is from RNAcentral.